UAGUUCAAAUGUUUAGUAAUUAUAAAAUAUUAAAUUGUUAACGUUCAUAUAGUUGGAACUCUGAAUAAUUACAUAAUAUUAUGUGUAAAUACAUAUCCAUCAUUCAAUAAUUACAUUUUACACACGCGUGCAAGAGCCUUAUCCAGAAUGUCACGCGUGAUUUUAAAACACGUUUUGUGGUAAAAUAACGUAGGCAUGAAAAGUAAGAAACGAAUAAGAAAGAAAACUACAAAAAAGAAAAGGGAGAGAAAGACAUAUGUUAAUUAAAACUAUCGCACAAAAUAUAACUAAUAUUUCCAGCUGGAACUGUCCAUAGCAAUCCAUAUUCUAAAAAAUGUUGGCUCUUUCUAUGACUUGUGUAAUCUUCAUUCAAUUCCAUUUUAGCGAAUCUAUUUGCAAUAAAUUAAAGAAUACUAUAUUUUUCUAAACCUUCGUUAAUCUUCAUUAAUAGAAGUUUUCCCGCAGAUGACAUUGAAAUAUUAUUCUAUUCUCAUGGUAUUCCGAGAAAUAUCCAUCAGAAGAAAUGUUUGAAUUGAGAAAAAGGAAGGAAGAAUAUCGGAGAAAUGAAAUUUUCGCUGAAAUAUCGAUCACGCUGAGGAUAAGAGCAUGAAAUAAUAAAUACACCGAGUUUUUCUAAACGCGAGGGCCAUGAGCUAUGAAAUCAAGAAUUUCAUUUAUCCCCUUUGCACUUUCAGUAUUUCCCUCUGCGCUUUAAUAUCUAACGCUGCUGUCUUGUCAACGUUUUUAUUAAUUUUUUUGUAGUAUAAUAAAAGAAGAAAAUCUGACGUGUAUUAUAUUAUGUCAUAAAAAAGGUGCUAAUAGCGAGAUAUGAUUAAAUAAAACAGAUAGCCAUUGAAACGGAAUUAAGAGUUUAUUAUGAAAGGGAGAUUCGUUUAUUCCUUAUUGCGAAGACAUUCAAGGAUUUAGAAAGUGAUUCUCCAGCUAUUCAACCCCCUCUGAAGGAAAACUUUAUCUCGAUUGCUGGAAUAAUCUUGAAUGUGUAGUACUUACCGACAUCACCAUCACCUAGAAUUACGUGAUGGAGAAUGAAGAACACCAACAGUACCGAGCCUCCUCGCCACCACUGUUUACGGCCCAUAGAUCUUCCUACAAUUACACAUAUGCAUAAAGUUCAUGGUUCAUAGUCGAUAGCAUAGUUAUUUUCAUUAAGCUAGGCCGAGCUGAUGCUCUCCUCGAUUAAUGAAAAAGCGUAGAUCUUCAUUUUUAAUGAGACGAGGCA
Molecule: long non-coding RNA, 1240 nt
Organism: Bombus impatiens (common eastern bumble bee)
Lineage: Eukaryota; Metazoa; Arthropoda; Insecta; Hymenoptera; Apidae
Exons: 3
Source: RefSeq, a predicted model, not a curated record